RNAcentral lists this ribosomal RNA (2126 nucleotides) under Salmonella enterica subsp. diarizonae. Its description in RNAcentral is "partial 23S ribosomal RNA". It matches the Rfam family "Bacterial large subunit ribosomal RNA", at positions 717 to 2823 of the family's 2925-position model. The record is from RNAcentral. Lineage: Bacteria; Pseudomonadati; Pseudomonadota; Gammaproteobacteria; Enterobacterales; Enterobacteriaceae.
GAAACCCGGUGAUCUAGCCAUGGGCAGGUUGAAGGUUGGGUAACACUAACUGGAGGACCGAACCGACUAAUGUUGAAAAAUUAGCGGAUGACCUGUGGCUGGGGGUGAAAGGCCAAUCAAACCGGGAGAUAGCUGGUUCUCCCCGAAAGCUAUUUAGGUAGCGCCUCGUGAAUUCAUCUCCGGGGGUAGAGCACUGUUUCGGCUAGGGGGCCAUCCCGGCUUACCAACCCGAUGCAAACUGCGAAUACCGGAGAAUGUUAUCACGGGAGACACACGGCGGGUGCUAACGUCCGUCGUGAAGAGGGAAACAACCCAGACCGCCAGCUAAGGUCCCAAAGUCAUGGUUAAGUGGGAAACGAUGUGGGAAGGCCCAGACAGCCAGGAUGUUGGCUUAGAAGCAGCCAUCAUUUAAAGAAAGCGUAAUAGCUCACUGGUCGAGUCGGCCUGCGCGGAAGAUGUAACGGGGCUAAACCAUGCACCGAAGCUGCGGCAGCGACGCUGAUGCGUUGUUGGGUAGGGGAGCGUUCUGUAAGCCUGUGAAGGUGGCCUGUGAGGGUUGCUGGAGGUAUCAGAAGUGCGAAUGCUGACAUAAGUAACGAUAAAGCGGGUGAAAAGCCCGCUCGCCGGAAGACCAAGGGUUCCUGUCCAACGUUAAUCGGGGCAGGGUGAGUCGACCCCUAAGGCGAGGCCGAAAGGCGUAGUCGAUGGGAAACGGGUUAAUAUUCCCGUACUUGGUGUUACUGCGAAGGGGGGACGGAGAAGGCUAUGUUGGCCGGGCGACGGUUGUCCCGGUUUAAGCGUGUAGGUGUGUGUUCCAGGUAAAUCCGGUUCACUUUAACACUGAGGCGUGAUGACGAGGCACUACGGUGCUGAAGCAACAAAUGCCCUGCUUCCAGGAAAAGCCUCUAAGCAUCAGGUAACAUCAAAUCGUACCCCAAACCGACACAGGUGGUCAGGUAGAGAAUACCAAGGCGCUUGAGAGAACUCGGGUGAAGGAACUAGGCAAAAUGGUGCCGUAACUUCGGGAGAAGGCACGCUGACAUGUAGGUGAAGUGAUUUACUCAUGGAGCUGAAGUCAGUCGAAGAUACCAGCUGGCUGCAACUGUUUAUUAAAAACACAGCACUGUGCAAACACGAAAGUGGACGUAUACGGUGUGACGCCUGCCCGGUGCCGGAAGGUUAAUUGAUGGGGUCAGCGCAAGCGAAGCUCCUGAUCGAAGCCCCGGUAAACGGCGGCCGUAACUAUAACGGUCCUAAGGUAGCGAAAUUCCUUGUCGGGUAAGUUCCGACCUGCACGAAUGGCGUAAUGAUGGCCAGGCUGUCUCCACCCGAGACUCAGUGAAAUUGAACUCGCUGUGAAGAUGCAGUGUACCCGCGGCAAGACGGAAAGACCCCGUGAACCUUUACUAUAGCUUGACACUGAACAUUGAGCCUUGAUGUGUAGGAUAGGUGGGAGGCUUUGAAGUGUGGACGCCAGUCUGCAUGGAGCCGACCUUGAAAUACCACCCUUUAAUGUUUGAUGUUCUAACGUGGACCCGUAAUCCGGGUUGCGGACAGUGUCUGGUGGGUAGUUUGACUGGGGCGGUCUCCUCCUAAAGAGUAACGGAGGAGCACGAAGGUUGGCUAAUCCUGGUCGGACAUCAGGAGGUUAGUGCAAUGGCAUAAGCCAGCUUGACUGCGAGCGUGACGGCGCGAGCAGGUGCGAAAGCAGGUCAUAGUGAUCCGGUGGUUCUGAAUGGAAGGGCCAUCGCUCAACGGAUAAAAGGUACUCCGGGGAUAACAGGCUGAUACCGCCCAAGAGUUCAUAUCGACGGCGGUGUUUGGCACCUCGAUGUCGGCUCAUCACAUCCUGGGGCUGAAGUAGGUCCCAAGGGUAUGGCUGUUCGCCAUUUAAAGUGGUACGCGAGCUGGGUUUAGAACGUCGUGAGACAGUUCGGUCCCUAUCUGCCGUGGGCGCUGGAGAACUGAGGGGGGCUGCUCCUAGUACGAGAGGACCGGAGUGGACGCAUCACUGGUGUUCGGGUUGUCAUGCCAAUGGCACUGCCCGGUAGCUAAAUGCGGAAGAGAUAAGUGCUGAAAGCAUCUAAGCACGAAACUUGCCCCGAGAUGAGUUCUCCCUGAGACUU